This is a long non-coding RNA of Marmota monax (woodchuck), 8994 nucleotides long. RefSeq lists it as uncharacterized. The transcript has 3 exons. The record is from RefSeq and is a predicted model, not a curated record. Lineage: Eukaryota; Metazoa; Chordata; Mammalia; Rodentia; Sciuridae.
CUGCGGGAGGGCGUCCCGAAGACUCCGGGAGAUGUGGGAGGGAGAGAGAGAGCUUGGUUUGCCUUGGCGCCUGCGCCGUGCGGGUGGAAGUCUGUCUGGGCUGCGGAGAAACUGGCUGAGGAUUCGAGCGCGCCUGCGCACUAUGGCAUUGGCACGUUCCGCCUUCCUGACCCAGUUGCGGCCCUUCCUGCUCUGAUGGGUUUUCGUGGGGUGAGAUUGGCUCUCCUUAGAGGGGUUUUUGAUACUGAGCCUCCCAAAUGCAACGGCUGGCAUUGAACUUGGGAUCCUCCUGUCUCUGCCUCCCAAGCACCUGGAAUUAUAGGUGGAUUUAUCUUUUCUGAAUAGCAUCCACCAUAGGAAUGAAGUCAUCCUGACUUGGGGAUGGUACCAGAAGAUUUCAGAAAUGACUCCCAAAUUAACAAGUGAGUUACAACUCCAGACAAUGGAAUGUAGCCUUUGAAUCAUCUCUUUAAAAGCUUCCUGUUCCUGCUGAUGGACAGAAUCAUAACCUUUGGGACAGGAGUCCCCUGUGUUUCUUCUUUGCUAGCAAAGCAGUAAACCUUCUUUUUCCUUUUUUCUCAAAACCAUGUCCUCAUUAUUGGAUUGACAUUGGGGACAAGGACCUGUAAUGGGUUCACUUGAUGCUUUGACUAUAUCACUUGUGGCUUUGAAACUUACAUUUAAAAAAAAUUUUUUUUCUAAUAUUUUCCAUAAACUUCUCCUUUCUGAUCUCUCUAAUCUAAUUUUCUCUGAAUUACCUCUUUAAAGCCCCACCUACCUCCUGUGGAUGGGCAGAAUCACAGCUUUUGGAACAGGAGUCCCUUGUGUUUCUUCUUUGCUAGUAAAGCAAUAAACCUUCUUUUUCUUUUCUUUUUUUCCCCCCAAAACCAUAUCCUUGUUACUGGAUUGGCAUCGGGGAUAAGCACCAAGCUUUUGGCAACAGAUGGAGCUUUUGGCAGAAAAUUUGGCCAAGAAAGCUCUCCACCUGGGGGUAGUCCUGGCUUUCUAAGGAACCCCACUUCCAUGCUGAGGAUGUAAGGUGAACUGCUGAGAGCCAACUGCUGAAGAGUUAGGAGAGUUGCCUUGUGUUAAACCGGAGGAGCUGUUCCUGUGAGUAAAGGGAGGAACUGAGGGAUGAUCCCAGCAGCUGCCGAAGCUCUUUUGCUUCAGGGAACCCUUGCCUUCUCUCCCUGAACAGUACAGGUUGCUCCAUCAUGGUCCACUUUGAGAAGAAGGAAACUGAACUCAGGAAAGUCGCAACACUCAUGACCAUUUGUAAGUCCCCUGGUGUGAACACCAAGACCCUUGAUUCCACACAUCUGGUUCCUUUUUUGGAGAACAUCUGGUUUCUCUUUCUGCAGACAUCCGUGGUGCCACUGGUGUAGGAGUCAUGGUUAAGUGGGACUCAAGAACCAACCUAGGGCUGGGUGCUGUGGCGCAUGCCUGUAAUCCCAGCAGCUCGGGAGGCUGAGGCAGGAGGAUCAUGAGUUCAAAGCCAGCCUCAGCAAAAGCAAGGUGCUAAACAACUCCAUGAGACCCUGUCUCUAAAUAAAAUACAAAAUAGGGCUGGGGAUCUGGCUCAGUGGUUGAGUGCCCUGAGUUCAAUCCCUGAUACCCUCCCCCUUCCCUAAAAAGAGCCUAAGGAUAUGAACUCCCUUUUGAUUUGUUCUAGGUUCCAUCUGUUCAUUGGCCUUAGACUUAGGAAUUCCCUUUGGUUGUUAGUUUUGGCCAUGGUUUCGGGGCUCCUCUCUGCUUGUCUCUGAGUGCUUCUUUUUUGUACAGUCUUGCAAUUGCAGUUGGUCUGCCAAAGGUGAAAUGAGUUGAAGAAAAGACCACCAAUAUAGGUAUAAGCCUGUCUAACAUAAUGUUUUACUGUAAUAAUCUGGCUUUUGAAUAGCUUUCUGGAUUAUUAUACAAUCUUGUAGUUGGAGUUGGUCUGUGAGGGGUAAAACAUAUGAAAGAGAUUCUGUAUGUUCAGGCAUUUAUGCAGUUGCGUGAUAAGGAAUUUGAAUCAUCAGGAACUAACUUGAAGGUGCCAAAAGUCACUGCCUUUGGUGUGCAAGGAUAGCAGAACAUGAGAAGAAAGGGUUAAAAAAGAUUUAAAUACUUUAAACCCAGUGCUGGCAUUCCUGGCACUGUUUCUCAGCCUGGCCCCAGACAGCCACAGAUCAUCUCACUGAGGUCAAAGACACAAGCCCUAAACUGGGGGUGGGGAUCCCAGAAAAGCUUCUGGGCUAUAGAAAAAUGGCCAAAGAGAACCUGGACUCUGCCCUGCCUUCCAGCCCCUUGUGCCCUGUAUGUGUGUGUGUGUGUGUGUGUGUGGCGGGGGUGGGGGUGGGGAUGGAGUCUUCUGGCCACAAAGAAUGUGGCAGUAGGUUCCAGCAUUGUCAGUAUAUGACCUAGGGACAGGAAUAGUCUCUACUUAAAGAUCUGACAGGACAUCCCAUUUGGCCAGGGGAUAUUCCUCACUGGGGCAGAGCAAUUCUUGCUGUAAUAGUAUCCCAUCAAACUAGAUGCCUGGGGAAACUGGUAGAAUAAAUAACUACAUCGAAAAAAGAAAAGGCCAACCUGUGUUUUGAAGGCAGCCUCUGCAAAGGGAUGCUUAGUAUUAGAAAAAGAGCCCCAAAUAGCCUCUGGGUACUACUGACAGUCGGGAACUCACUUAAAGUCGAUGGCAUCAUGAUAAUGAUAAGGCAGACAGGUCAGCCUCAAAAAUAGCCUGUGCUCCAACCCCUUGAAUGCAACUGGGGAGAAAGAAAGACUAAGGCAUAGUUUUUGUAUAUGCUGUUUUGUCCAAUUCUCUUCUGGGAUGAAAUUUGUUGUGUAAAUUAAACAUACAGAUAACAUUCUCAAGAACUGUUUCAGAAUAUGAAUUUAAAUAAGGAUCAAAAACUGGAAAAGAUAAAAGAAAGUUACAGGUAUGAAAAUAUACGGAAAAUUAAUGUUUCUGGAUGAGAAAGUAUUUUGGUAAAGUAAUAUUCUUAUGCUAAAGUCCAAGAUGAAAGAGAACAAAACUAAGGAUGUGAAGUUGUGACUGUGAUUUUACCAAAAAAAGAGAAAGAGUAACUUUUGUACAUCAACAAGCUUGAUUGCAGACAUAACUUUUUUUUUUUUUUUAAGUUGUAGAUGGGCACAAUACCUUAUUUUAUUUUUAUGUGGUGUAAGAAUCAAACCCAGUGCCUCACACCUGCUAGGUAAGUGUUCUACCACUGAGCCACAACCCCAGCCCUGCAGAAAGAGAAACAUGACCUUUACAAUAAAGAGGAGCUAAACCACAAUGAGCUCUCUAGAAAUCCUGUUGACUUUUUAAAAAUAUCUUGUUUACUAGGAGAAAGGCUUAUAUAUUACAAUUAAGGUGGGGAUCUUUUGGACACUACAUCAUUUGGAGUAUUUGUGGUACAUCGUUACCCCCUCUAUGCUCAUUAUUUAACCCUUUAAGUCAAAAAACAUCAUUAUCUUCUAGGCUUAACAUUUUAUAUAAUGCCGUAAUCUUAAUUUCUCUCUCUGUUACUCCCUCCCCACCCCAAUAGCUGCUUCUGUAGUUGACCCAAUGUUUCAUUGUAAAAGGGAGACAAACAUGAAAGCAAUAAACAAUAGCAUAAUCCAUUCUAUGUCAAUUAAACUUUUGAAUCCACCAAGAAUAGAAAAACCAUCCUCCAAAGAGUGAGCUUGGUUCCCAAGCCUUAAUGCCCUUUCAGGUUUGAACUAGUACAUGUGCUAGUUGUUGUUGUUUUUUUUUUUCAAUUUAAUUAAUAAGUUUAAAUUUUAUAUAAGAAAAGUAUACAUAUUUUUAUGACCAUUAAAGUGUCCAGACUUCCUUUUAAGCCUUAGUCCUUUAUGAAUUUUUUUCAAUUAGUUAUAUAUAACAGCAGAAUGCAUUUUGACUAUUAAACACAAAUGGAGGCAACUUUUCAUUUCUCUGGUUAGACACAGUGCACAGUCACCCCAUUCCUGCAAUCAUACAUGUACAUAGAUUAAUACAAUCCACCUCAUUCCACCAUCCUUCCCACUCCCAUAUCCCCUCCCCUCCCACACUCCCCUCUGCCCAAUCCAAAGUCCCUCCCAUCUUCCCUUGCCCCGCCCCCCAUUAUGGGUUAGCUGUGUGUUUGGUUGUUGUCAGUCCUGUAGUAAAGACCAAGGAAAGGACUGUGCAUAUGACAGAAGUAAGGGGUGGCAAUGCACCACAGUAUGAGAGCCCUCUUACAGGAUGAAACAGUCCAUUUGUCCUGUUGCCUAGUUUAUUUUCCUCCUUGCAUUGAUCAGCCAGCCCUCAAGUGGCUGAAGCAGGGCUGCUGUUUCCUCAAGCUUUGGUGUGUGCAGGCUAGCUAGCUUCCAGGGUGACCAGAGCAGGGCUAGUGUCCUUCUGAUCCUCAAGCUUCUCUGGUGUUUCCUUCUUCCUGAUGGUCAGCUGAAGGGGAGCAAAAGAAUGUACAUGAGAUUCUAUUACAGACAGUCUAAAAACAAACCAAAAAGAACAAAAUAUUACAUAAUACACUAUGUAUAUGUGUGUGAGUAUAUAUAUGUGUGUGUGUGUGUGUGUGUGUGUGUGUGUACACACACACACAUACAUUUGGUGAUACUGUAAAGAGGAGUAAAAAAGUUGUGGACACUGCUCCCUGUGUGUGCGGCAGAGGUGGGGGAUAUCCUGGAAGGUUUGAACUACAUAGAUUUAUCUCAAUGUAACUUUAAACAAAUUUGAAAACAGCUUUUAAUUCCAUGAGCCUGACCCAACAUUUCAUGCUUUGGUUUAUGACCUUCCAUAUAUUAUUAUUUCCUCUAAAAACAUGAUGUAAAUUUCAACUCCCUACCUCACAGGUCAGUUGUCAUCCAAAGGUGCACUUCUAGGUGUGUCACCUUUAGUCUGAGAAUAUAUUUCUGCAUGGAAAUAUUGCUGAAUGCCUACCUGGCUCCCAAGGUGAGGUAGUGCAGAACAACUUGAUUUGCCCAUGGCUUAUUGUCGGGAGCUGCCUUGGAUGCAGACGCCUUUAAGCCCUGAUGCACCGGGUUCUGAACAAUUAUUGCAUUCAGUCUGGCAGGGCAGUGCCAGGUUGCAGUAAUGUGGGCGUCACCCCAGCUCAGAUAACAAGGCAUGGCUCCAGGUGUAGGCAUCACCCACUGGGGUUGAGUUACACUCAUCUGUUCCCUUGUAUUCCGACCCCUUUGCCCUUUUUGGGAUAAAAUGUUCUAUGGAAACUCCCCUUGUGUGUGUCUCCUAUGUAACAAUAAAGAAUUCCAGUGGCUCUAUGUCUUUCCAUGGGCCCUUAGGUUCACAGAGCCAUCCCCGGAUUAUUGAAAAGGUACUUCUGUGUGGUUGUGUGCCUUCUUUGUCAUUUUCUUAAGUUAUUGGAAUAGUCAGAUUUAUGAACCACGCAUUAGGUCUCCAGCUAUGACAGAUGGUGAUAGCUUAUCAUCCUCACCAUCUUUGUUUUACCAGAUGCAAAACCAAGGUUGUACCUAGUUCUGGACCCUGGACAAGGUCACCUAGUUAAAAGGGAUGUGAAUUCAGCUCUACCAACUCUGAUGCCUUUGCCUCUCCCCACACUACCCUUUGCAAGACAAAACUAGGUAACAUAUUUUUCCUUUCUUGAUAAUCUCAUGGAAGAAGCCAAUGUCAGACUAAGUUUGGUAGUUCUAGGAGGGUAUUUUCCCAAGAGGGGGCUUUUCCCCAAGUCCAGGUGGGUGGAGUCUGUCCAGUCUGGCUCAUACCACUGCCCAGAGCCCAAGAGCCCAGAUGGCUUUCUCUGGAAUCCAGAGUCCCCUUCAGAGAGGAGUGUGAGGGUGAGUUAGGAAGCUGCUUCCAGGCUGGACUCCCAGAGCAGCCAGAGAUCCCUCUCCAGCUUGCCCCACAGGGUCAAGGUCCAGAGGAGGCCAGUAGCUCCACCUCUGCCCCCUCACCAGCAGGCUGGACCCACCUAGCCCUGCCCACUGCCUGCUGUGAGGACUGCAACCUUUGUUUAAAGUACUCACUUGUUUUCCUUGGAUGAGUUCCCUGAGUCAGCACAACUCCUGCUCAAGGGCCCAGAAGGACUGGUGGGUGGUCCUGGGGGAGGAAAGGCAGGCGGCAAGCGGUGGGCUCUGAUGAGGCGACUGGGAUGGAGACUGCCCAACUUCCCAGCUUCUGUGGUCUUGGGCAGCACAGCAGCAUCUUUGGGAUGGAAUCACUGAAGAGGCCUCAUGGAGUGGUAGCAUCUGGUGGCAGCAGCAGCAACAUGUAGCUGCUUCAGGCAUAGGGCAUCAGGCGAGGGAGGUCCGGAGUUGAGAGUUGGCAUGGGGGUGGCAACAGCUGAGGUGUUGGCAUCCAGCUGCAGUUUGGGAGAUCCCUUGCUGCAUACUCACUGUGGCGGUGGCAGCAGAAGAGUCCAGAAGCUGCUGUGGUGACAACAGAGGGAUGUUGCCAUGAUCAUUUCUGUCCUGCAGUGCCACAGGAGUCUGGCUGCAGUGGGUGAAGUGGGCAUCCAGUGCUGAGUAUCGCUGUCUUGCGUCCAUGAUGGAGUCUGGUGGUGGCAGCAGCAACAUGCAGCUUCAUCCGGGAGCCGGCAUGGGGCACUGGAGUCAGGCAUCAUGGUGGGGGGUGAAGGGCAUUGACGUUGGGCCCUUGGUGGGCAGCAUCAUAGUCCAGCUGGGGUUUGGGAGUUUGGUUGCUGCACGGUGGCGGCAGCACCAGUAGAGUCUGGAAACGGGGCUGAGGACACAGAGGCGUCCAGUGGUGAGCAUCUUCAUCCUGCUGGGGUAACAGGAAUACUGCUGCAGUGGCAUCUGGCGACCAUGUGGGGAGUCCCGUGGCUACAGUGAAGAGCUCCAGGCUGGUGGCGGCAGCGAGGGCGCAGGGCAGUGAGCCUCAGAGUGGAAGGGCGACGAGAGGCUGGAAUGGCCUCUGCAGUGGCUGUUCCAGGCCCUGGGUCUUGGUCCUGGCUGAGCGGCCUGUUCAGGAAGCAGCACGAGGGGGGUGGCAAUACCCAGGCAGCUGCUGAGGACCUUAGGCUGCCCACACCUGCCUCGCCUGGCACUGGCCAUGAGCCCGCCGGGUGGCUGCUCGCCCCAUCCCCGAUGUGGCCUCUGCGGGGGAACUAGGCCAUCUGCCAGGUGGGGCAGCCUUGGGAGAGGACCCUCACCUUCCUAAGAGACAUCCCACCUGGGCUGUGGGGGGAGGGAGCAGAGGAACUAGGACCUCUUCAUCCUCAAAGUGCAUUUCUGAUUGGAAGCAUUUCCUCUCAGAACUGGAACAGGACAAGGAUGCCCUCUCUCACCUUCUACUCUACAUAGUCCCUGAUACUCUAGCCAGAGUUUAAACUAUACUGCUGUUUAAACUCCAGUACAGCUUAGACUACAUGACAGAGCUGUAGAUGAAAGAAAUUAAAGGGAUAGGAAUAGGGGAAGAAGAACUCAUACUAUCCCUAUUUGCUGAUGACAUGAUUCUACACAUAGAGGAUCCAAAAAAACUCCACCAGAAAACUUCUAAUAUUAACAAAUUCAGCAAUGUCACAGGAUAUGAAAUCAAUAUUCAUAAAUCAAAUGCAUUUCUAUCUAUUAGUGAUGAACCCUCUGAAAGAGAAAUUAGGAAAACUAUCCCAUUCACAAUAGCCUCAAAAAUGAAAUAUUUGGGUAUAAAUUUAACAAAAGAGAUGAAAGACCUAUACAAUGAAAACUAAAGAAAGAAAUUGAAAAGACUUUCAAAGAUGGUGGACCAGAGGGAAGCAGCAUCUGUGUUGCUCUGUGAUCCAGAUCUCUCCUAGUAGGAAUUCUGCAUCUCUUGAGAGUGUUAGAGGCCCCUGUACAGCUUCUCUCUACAGAAAUGACCAGCGCUGUGACCUCACGCAGGACUCAGGGCCUCAGUGUCCGAGCAGGACCCAAAGCCAAAGUUGCAGUUCACUUAAGACUUGGCCAGCGCCUUAGCAGAACCACCUACCAACACAUCUGCAGACCGCUGAGACUCGCUCCACUCCCACGCAGGUCACUCAGCUGCUACCUCCCCACAGCACAAGGCCAUCGGUUCCCCUGACAUCACACCGACUACAUCUUGGAAAGCAUUCCUUGCCAUUUUGAGGUGGGCGUGGCUAUCGGAUCCCUACCCUUUUGAGCAGGUACCUGAUUCCAAUUCCUCCCUCAUGGCCACACUAUCAUAAACCUUAUACAGAUUUAAUGUGAUUCCAAUUAAAAUCCCAAUAACAUUCCUCAUAGAAAUAGAAAAAGUAAUCAUGAAAUUCAUUUGGAAAAAUAGACACAGAGAAAUCCUUAUUGACAAAGCAAUCCUUAGCAAAAAGAGUGAAGUAGGAGACAUCACAAUAUCAAAACUUAAACUACUACAGAUCUGUAGUAACAAAAACGGCAUGCUAUUGGCACCAAAAUACACAUGUAGACCAAUGGUCCAAAAUAGAAGAUACAGAGAAAAACCCACAUAAAUGUAGUUAUCUCAUUCUUGACAAAGGUGCCGAAAACAUACAUUAGCUAAACGAUAGCCUCUUCAACAAUGGUGCUGGGGAAACUGUAAAUCCAUAUGUAGCAGACUGAAAUUAAACCACGAUCUCUCACCUUGCACAAACACUCAAAGUAGAUUAAGGACCUAGGAAUUAGACCAGAGACCCUGUACUUAAGAAAUAAAAUCAAGAAUUAAUAAUGGGAUGGAUUCAAACUUAAAAGCUUCUUCUCAGCAAAGGAAACAAUAAUAUGAAGAGAGAGCUCACAGAGUGGGAGAACAUCUUUACUGCACGCACAUUAGAUAAAACACUAAUUUCCAGGAUAUAUUAAAAACUCAAAAACUUCAACACCCAAAGAAUAAAUAACCCAAUAAAUAAAUGGGCUAAGGAAAUGGACAGACACUUCACAGAAGAAGAUACACAGUCGAUCAACAAAUGUAUGAAAAUAUGUUCAACUUCACCAGAAAUUAGAGAAAUGCAAAUCAAAACUACUCUAAGACCAUCUUACUCCAGCCAGAAUGGCAGUUAACAAGAAUACAAGCAACAAUAAGUGUUGGUGAGGAUGUGGGGGGGGGGGGAA